AUAUCUCUCUGUACGGGAAGGAUGAGAAGCUUCGACCAAGGUUCGAUUCGAGCGUCAGCGAGAAAGCGUUGCCGCAGGCAACGACCCGAAGGGCAAAGCGCGCAGCGCUGAGUCAUCCUUCCCCCACCACCA
RNAcentral lists this small RNA (132 nucleotides) under Salmonella enterica subsp. enterica. Its description in RNAcentral is "RtT sRNA". It matches the Rfam family "RtT RNA". From Rfam's summary of the family: This family represents a bacterial cis-regulatory element known as RtT RNA. The exact function of RtT is unknown although it is thought that it may be involved in changing the cellular response in relation to amino acid starvation. Lineage: Bacteria; Pseudomonadati; Pseudomonadota; Gammaproteobacteria; Enterobacterales; Enterobacteriaceae. The record is from RNAcentral.